This is a non-coding RNA of Struthio camelus australis, 525 nucleotides long. Lineage: Eukaryota; Metazoa; Chordata; Aves; Struthioniformes; Struthionidae. The record is from RefSeq and is a predicted model, not a curated record.
UCUCCCCUCCCUCGCCCUCGUCCUUGCAGAACAGAAGAACGACAAGUCCGAGGAGGAGCAGAGCAGCAGCUCCAUGAAGAAGGAGGAGAGCAACGUCAAGAUGGAGUCGGAGGCGGGGGCCGACGACUCGGCCGAGGAGGGGGACCUGCUGGAUGACGACGACAACGAGGAUCGGGGAGACGAUCAGCUGGAGUCCAUAAAGGGGGACGAGAAAGAGGCAGAGGAAGGAGAGGAUGACAGAGACAGCGCCAAUGGCGAAGAUGACUCCUAAGCUCCCCCUCCCCCAGCAAAGGCACCCAUCUUAAAAAACAACAACAAAAAAAACAAAAACAAAAAACAAAAAAACCGAGCCUGGCCCCCGCCCCGCCGCCCCCUCCUCGCUGCCUGCUGCCCCGUGUUCAUGGUGUCGUGUCUCCUGCCGCGCCUCUGCUCUCACUGUAGUUCUGUUCGGUCCCCCUGUAAUUUUCCUCUUUUAAUUUUGAUACCUCUUUACGACUUAACAAUAAAAAGGACGUAUGGUUUUUA